AGCGAACGUUUGCGGCGGGCCUAACACAUGCAAGUCGAACGCACUAGCAAUAGUGAGUGGCGCACGGGUGCGUAACACGUGGGUAAUCAACCCUUCAGCCUGGGAUAACGACUCGAAAGGGUCGCUAAUACCGGAUACGGCGCGAGAGGCUUCGGCUUCUCACGAGAAAGCCACGCAAGGGGCACUGAAGGACGAGCCUGCGGCCCAUCAGCUAGUUGGUGAGGUAAGAGCUCACCAAGGCUAAGACGGGUAGCUGGUCUGAGAGGAUGAUCAGCCACACUGGAAUUGAGACACGGUCCAGACUCCUACGGGAGGCAGCAGUGGGGAAUAUUGCGCAAUGGGCGAAAGCCUGACCCAGCCACGCCGCGUGAGUGAUGAAGGCCCUCGGGUCGUAAAGCUCUGUGGAGAGGGACGAAAACCCUGGUUUCAAAUAGGCUCCAGGCUUGACGGUACCUCUUUAGCAAGCACCGGCUAACUCUGUGCCAG
Molecule: ribosomal RNA, 486 nt
Filed under: uncultured bacterium
Lineage: Bacteria
Description: bacterial SSU rRNA
Rfam family: Bacterial small subunit ribosomal RNA
Source: RNAcentral